This 439-nucleotide ribosomal RNA is filed under the name uncultured bacterium. RNAcentral describes it as "partial 16S ribosomal RNA". It matches the Rfam family "Bacterial small subunit ribosomal RNA", at positions 338 to 795 of the family's 1533-position model. The record is from RNAcentral.
CCUACGGGUGGCAGCAGUGGGGGAUAUUGCACAAUGGGGGGAACCCUGAUGCAGCGACGCCGCGUGGGUGAAGGAGCGUUUCGGCGCGUAAAGCCCUAUCGGCAGGGAAGAAGAUGACGGUACCUGGCCAAGAAGCCCUGGCUAACUACGUGCCAGCAGCCGCGGUAAUACGUAGGGGGCAAGCGUUAUCCGGAUUUAUUGGGUUUAAAGGGUGCGUAGGCGGAUUUUUAAGUCAGCGGUAAAAUGUCCGGGCUCAACCCGGGCCGGCCGUUGAAACUGGGGAUCUUGAGUGGGCGAGAAGUAUGCGGAAUGCGUGGUGUAGCGGUGAAAUGCAUAGAUAUCACGCAGAACUCCGAUUGCGAAGGCAGCAUACCGGCGCCCGACUGACGCUGAGGCACGAAAGCGUGGGGAUCGAACAGGAUUAGAUACCCUAGUAGUC